This is a long non-coding RNA of Pungitius pungitius (ninespine stickleback), 793 nucleotides long. RefSeq lists it as uncharacterized. The transcript is spliced from 3 exons. Lineage: Eukaryota; Metazoa; Chordata; Actinopteri; Perciformes; Gasterosteidae. The record is from RefSeq and is a predicted model, not a curated record.
AAGGGUUCUGGUCCAUAUUUCUGCUCCCGCUGGGUGUUGUCGUGGUUCUUAGUUUGAAUGUUACAGCCGUCCUCAUUUACGUCAUCAAGAAAAACAAGUGUGAUAAUUGCAAUAAUGAAGCGGCUGCUUCGUUGCAAGAAAAUUUUGCAAAAGGGAAUUUCAAGAGGAAUGAAGACACGUGGACUUAUUCUACUGCCGUCUUCACCGUGAUGAAGUCUGGUGGAAGGAGGCGCGCAGAGGGAGCGCAGAGGGAGCGCAUCCACGCUGCUGCCAAGGCCUCCGGGUCGGAUUAGCAUGUUUCCUCAGUGAGAUCAGCUGGUACCGCGUGUGAUGGAAGUCCAGAGGCUGUUAUAUGUGGCCGAUACGCAGUGAUUUGAUGCAUGGUAUGAGAUGAAAAAAGCAACAACACACGGAUGAAUCCACUGACAGGCUGUCGUGGGCUCGACAGCCUGUCAGUGGAUUCAGCCAGAAAGAACCAUCUGCAACUUGAAAAAUAUCCCUUUUAGUUUUAAUAUGAGAGGAUAAAAUGCUUUGUUUUUUUAAAAGUUCCCACUUCAUCAAUUCACUGCAAACAUCCAUCUGCAGUGUGACAUCAGCACUGAAGGUCAAACCCAUCAAGAGAAACUGCACAGGAGUCUGCAGAUGAUUCUUCUUCUCACAUGAAGUUUACUUUUCUUCUCUUUCUACUUUACUAAUUAUGGUCUGGUGUUUGUGUCAGGUUUUUUUUCUCCCCACAAAAGGUUUAGAUUGAUCACGACUAAUCUUUUGUCUCUUUAACCUGUAAUGUGCAAGU